UUAGUGGUAGUUCAGUGGUAGGAUUCCCUCCUUCCAUGUGGGAGACCUGGGUUCAGUUCCUGGCCACUGCA
This 71-nucleotide transfer RNA is filed under the name Loxodonta africana (African savanna elephant). It matches the Rfam family "tRNA". From Rfam's summary of the family: Transfer RNA (tRNA) molecules are approximately 80 nucleotides in length. Their secondary structure includes four short double-helical elements and three loops (D, anti-codon, and T loops). The record is from Rfam by way of RNAcentral. Lineage: Eukaryota; Metazoa; Chordata; Mammalia; Proboscidea; Elephantidae.